This 171-nucleotide unclassified non-coding RNA is filed under the name Borreliella spielmanii. RNAcentral describes it as "partial 5S-23S ribosomal RNA intergenic spacer". Lineage: Bacteria; Pseudomonadati; Spirochaetota; Spirochaetia; Spirochaetales; Borreliaceae. The record is from RNAcentral.
UGUUUAUGUUAUUUGAAUAAGCCAUUCAAAUAACAUAAAAAAGAAAAUAGAUAUUGACAUGGAUUAAACAAAGAUAUAUAUUAUUCUAUGUUGCAUAAACAAAUUGGCAAAGUAGAGAUGGAAGAUAAAAAUAUGGUCAAAGUAAUAAGAGUCUAUGGUGAAUGCCUAGGA